AGAGUUUGAUCAUGGCUCAGGACGAACGCUGGCGGCAUGCCUAAUACAUGCAAGUCGAGCGGAAUGACGAGAGCUUGCUCUCUGAUUUUAGCGGCGGACGGGUGAGUAACACGUGGGCAACCUGCCCUACAGAUGGGGAUAACUCCGGGAAACCGGGGCUAAUACCGAAUAAUCAGUUUGUCCGCAUGGACAAACUCUGAAAGACGGUUUCGGCUGUCACUGUAGGAUGGGCCCGCGGCGCAUUAGCUAGUUGGUGGGGUAAUGGCCUACCAAGGCAACGAUGCGUAGCCGACCUGAGAGGGUGAUCGGCCACACUGGGACUGAGACACGGCCCAGACUCCUACGGGAGGCAGCAGUAGGGAAUCUUCCACAAUGGACGAAAGUCUGAUGGAGCAAUGCCGCGUGAGCGAAGAAGGUUUUCGGAUCGUAAAGCUCUGUUGUAAGGGAAGAACACGUACGGGAGUAACUGCCCGUGCCAUGACGGUACCUUAUUAGAAAGCCACGGCUAACUACGUGCCAGCAGCCGCGGUAAUACGUAGGUGGCAAGCGUUGUCCGGAAUUAUUGGGCGUAAAGCGCGCGCAGGCGGUUCUUUAAGUCUGAUGUGAAAGCCCACGGCUCAACCGUGGAGGGUCAUUGGAAACUGGAGAACUUGAGUACAGAAGAGGAAAGCGGAAUUCCACGUGUAGCGGUGAAAUGCGUAGAGAUGUGGAGGAACACCAGUGGCGAAGGCGGCUUUCUGGUCUGUAACUGACGCUGAGGCGCGAAAGCGUGGGGAGCAAACAGGAUUAGAUACCCUGCUAGUCCACGCCGUAAACGAUGAGUGCUAAGUGUUAGGGGGUUUCCGCCCCUUAGUGCUGCAGCUAAC
This 866-nucleotide ribosomal RNA is filed under the name uncultured bacterium. RNAcentral's name for it is "bacterial SSU rRNA". It matches the Rfam family "Bacterial small subunit ribosomal RNA", at positions 8 to 856 of the family's 1533-position model. The record is from RNAcentral.